UACUGAUGGAUACUGUAUAUGUCUUGUUGA
This 30-nucleotide non-coding RNA is filed under the name Mus musculus (house mouse). Lineage: Eukaryota; Metazoa; Chordata; Mammalia; Rodentia; Muridae. The record is from RNAcentral.